UGCCAAAUUCAUAUGACAGACAUCUCUUUUAAUGCUUGUACAGUGCCACUUAUUCAUCUGAAGAAGCAAAAGGAAAUGCUUUCAACCCGGAUCCCAGACACAGAAAGGAGCCCAGGUUUAAAAGCUCCUCCCUGCCAAGGACAGAGUGCCACUCAACUCCAUCUUUGCCCAUAAGUGUCUCUCCAGAGGACAUUUGGCAAUAGCUAGAGACAUUUGGGGAUGUCAAAACUAGGAAGGACGCUACUGCAUCAGCUUUAUUGAAGUAUAAUUGAUGCACAAGGAACUAUGCAUAUUUCAAAUGAAUAAUUUGAUGCAUUUUGACCUACGUAUACACCUGCAGAAUCAUCAUCAUACAUAAUGUAAUUUAAAGCUCAAAUGACUAGGGCGACUGCUGACCCACAGGACAUCCUUGUGUCAAUUAGAAAGAAAAGGUCCCUCCUGCCUGUCAGUUGCUUUCAGACAGAUGGGAAGAAACAAUGUCCUUGCUCUCAGCUCUUGGCUACCUCCUCAGCUGGAUGCCUUCAUACUGUGAGCAGCAUACACAACCAUAAAUGGCAGUCCUGCAAACUGGUCUGCUAAACUCAUUUUUUUCAAAACAUCCUCCCAAGGUUUUGAAGAUUACACGCUGGUUUCCAUUUCAAGGUGGUAGAAUGGAAAUAGAUUGUAGUCUCCUUUUCCCACUGGAAAUCUCAAAAUUUUAGAAAGGAUUUUUUAAUGCAUAUAGCUGGGAAACAGUAUCAAGCUUUGGAGGACCAUAUAAACUUUGAGAGGACAUUUGGAAGACAGAAAGCAGGUGUUAUUAGAAGGAGGAUUUAAAACCAGCUCAAAACAAGAAUAGGAGAGUGCUGCCAAUAAAUGUUGGGAAUGGAUACAAAAGACAACAGUGUUUGCUACAGGAGAGCAGUAGGAAGAGCAAGGUUGAACUGUGCACCUUCCCUCUACCAACUUAGGCCACAUUUGGAGUCAAAGAGUAGCAACAGGAGUUACUGCUUCCAGCUGGGAGUCAAAGGUAUGGAAGCUUGAAUCAGAGAAACAAAGCAGCAUCCUGGACACCCUGAAUAGCUGGAGCUACCAAUGGAAUGAGACAGCCUCUCCCCUACCAGGAGCUAAUCUAUGAGGCACCCUGCCAGCGGUAUCCUCAUCCCCUCCCAUACACUUUUGAAAACAGACUGAAAUACAAGUUCCUGCAGCAAAUCUGGUCCUUCUCUCUAAGCAGCCUGCAGGAUCACAUAGAACAAAGAGCCUAAUAAGGAGUCUCAGCUAACAGAUGAACACGCAGGAGUCACUAAGUGUUGGAGGAAGGCCAAUACCAUUAAAAAGAGAUACAAUAGAGUUCCUUGUUUUUAAAACAUGAAGAAUUUACAGCCCGGAAUUAAUAAUGUCAGAAAAGGACUUCAGAAUAUUUACAAGUCAUAUCCACAGAGAUAUGUGAGAGAAUAUUAAAUCCACAGAAAAUAAUCAAUUGGAAAGCACACCUAUUAAAAUAUUGAUCUUUUAAAUAGAAUACUCGACAAGUAGGUCAAAUAAGAGAAUGGACACAAAGAACAAAUUGCUAAACUGUAAUAUUAAUCCAAAAAUUUCUUCCAGAAUGCAAUAAAAAGUGAUGAAUAUAUAAAAAGAAUAAAAUAAAAGUUAGGAAUUAUGUAAAAUAGACUCAAAUGCUCCAUCAUCCACCCAAUCGGAGUAGUAUUAGCAGGAAUGGAAGGAAGGUAACAUAUACAUUAGUUUAGUUGCAAUUUAAGGUCCAACCAAGUUCUGAGUAAGAUAAAUUUAAAUAAUAAACCAUACCUAGAUAUUAUAUUAACAUUUCCCAAACCAAGAAUAAAGGAAACAAAUACUAAAAUCUUUGGGAAAGAAAAAACAAAAUCUCCUAUACAAUUUUCUUGUUAACGAAUGAAUAAAAUCAAAGGAGCAAGAAAAAAAGUUAAACCUGCAAUUUUAUAUCCAACCAAACUAUCAUUCAAGAAUGAAAAUGAAACAUGAAGGAACAAGAAACUUUACCACUCACAAUAAUUCCUUGAUAUAAUUUUGCCAACCAAAGUAAAAAUGAAUAUAAUAAUAAGGAAGCUCUGAAAAAUAAUGGUGAACAAAAAAAUCAAUUAAAUUAUAUUAUUAAUUCUAGAUAACUAUUGAUUUUUUAAAACAACAAUGACAGGAAUUUUUAAAGUAACAAUGUAGAAUAAACUUUCAAAUUAGGUCAAUAUGGAAGAGAAUUGAAAUGGGAAGAAAUACUUAAGUAAAACUAAAGCAUACAAAAAUUUUGGUUUUGUUUAAUAACUUUAGAGAAACACAGACCAAUUCUGAAUAUUAAUAGAAAAUAUAUUUCAUUCAAGUGCUAACUGAAUAGCAUUUAGUAGAAAAACACAAAUACAAUUUAUAAUUUUUACACUAUCACAAAAAAGUGGAAGAAAAUAAAAUCAAUCCAACAAAGGCAGAAAAAACUUGAAAUGGUAUUCAAAUAUACUCCCCUCUCCCCUAAUUUAAUCAGGUCCACAAAAUUUCAUAGGCAACUCUGACCAACUCUUUAAAAAAUAAAAAAAGUCUUUUAAGAAUAUGCAUUAGCUUUUUAAAAAUUUCGAACAGGACUGCAUAAGGAAAGAAAACCAUAGCAAAUCUCACAUAGAUGCAAAUUGCUAAUAAAAUACUAGAAAUUUAAAUUCAGCAAUCAAUUAAAAGAAUAAUGCACUAUGAUCAAGUAAGGUUUAUCCCAGGAAUACAAAAUAUAGCUUUUUAAUAAUGAACAACCAAUAUAAUCCAAUAUAAUUGGCUAACUUAAUCAUAUGAUUUAGGAGAGAAACAGUUUCAAUAGAUGCCCAAAGACAAUUGUGAUUAUGUGUGUAUAUGUAAUAUACUUGUGUGUGCGUCUGUUUGCGUAAAAAGUAAGAACAAAAAGAAACUUCCUUAAUCUAAUAAAGAGUAUCUACCCCAAAAUACAGCAAAUGUGACAUUUAUUAGAAAUAUUGUAAGGUCAAGAACAAAACAAGAAUGCCCAUUGCUACUGUUACUGUUCAACAUUAGACUGAACAUCCUAGCCAAUGGAAUUAAAUAAGUGAAACCAUAGUAAGUUGUAUAAAUGUUGAAAAAUAAGGGGUAAACUGUUAUUAUUUACAGAGAAAAUGAUAGAAAUUUCAAGAUAAUCAAAGGAAAAACUUUUAUAGCUAAGAAGAGAGUUCAGCAAGAUAGCAAGAAACAAAAACAACAUAAAAAACAAUGACUUUUCUAUAUAUUGCCAUUGAUUGUUUUUAAAAUGCAAUUGGGAAGGAAAUUAAUGAAUUAAUGCAACAAUACACAAGUAGUUUGAAGAAACAGAAUAGAGUUCAAAAAAUAGACUCACAAACAAACAGAAAAUUUAUAGAAAGUAUAGUCAUUAAGGCCACAGACUAAAUCUAGAUCCAUAUGUUUUAUUUUUUGCUCCACUAUUUCUUGACUAUGUGUUGCUGUGCAAGUUAUUUGAUAUUUCUGUACCUGUUUCCUUGUCUGUAAAAUGAGGAAUAAUCAUAGAACCAACCAAUAUGUGUAUUUAAAUGAUAAAUAUGUACGUACAUAUGUAUGCAUCUAUCUAUAGAACACAUAUGUUUAUGAAAUAUGAUAAAAAGUGGAACUUCAAAUCAAUGGGAAAAUAAUGGUAUGCCAUUUCAAAUCAAUGAGACUUACUAGCUAUCCUUUUAUAAAAAGUAAAAGUUUGAUUUCAUCUUACACUGUUCAAAAAAUUGUAAUUAAGACUUAAAAUCUUUUAAUGAUAAGAAAUUAUUAGAAGAAAAUGUAGGCAAAUAUAUGGUGCCUUAGAGUUAGGAAGACCUUCUGAAAUAAAACACAAAAAGCAAAAGCCAUAAAAGAAAAUAUGAGUCCAGGCGAGGUGGCUCACGUCUGUAA
Molecule: non-coding RNA, 3873 nt
Organism: Macaca mulatta (Rhesus monkey)
Lineage: Eukaryota; Metazoa; Chordata; Mammalia; Primates; Cercopithecidae
Source: RefSeq, a predicted model, not a curated record